Molecule: long non-coding RNA, 203 nt
Filed under: Physcomitrium patens
Lineage: Eukaryota; Viridiplantae; Streptophyta; Bryopsida; Funariales; Funariaceae
Description: long non-coding RNA (PPAT_LNC012115)
Source: RNAcentral
GGACGCCUUAUAAGAUUCUUGGGCAGUUUGCAAUUGAAGCUUCAAUAUAGUUUGAAGUUGCGAAAGCUCCUUCACCAAUCCUUCAGCUGCCGGAUUGUUAAUCGUUGACGAACUCCAUAAGUCAAGCUUCGGAUGGUAUCCAUAAUUGGAAAAGAAUGGCGUUUGUUGAGUUGACGCAUGAAGGGUGUUGUUAUAUGCGAACU